Molecule: RNA transcript, 8455 nt
Organism: Ostrea edulis (European flat oyster)
Lineage: Eukaryota; Metazoa; Mollusca; Bivalvia; Ostreida; Ostreidae
Exons: 5
Source: RefSeq, a predicted model, not a curated record
UAAUAAUAUGUUUUAUCCUGUUACUUUACAAAGUUCAACCACAGGCACUCGACGUUUUAAAUAUCUAUAAUAAAGAAAAAAAUGUCUUCCUGUAAAUAUGAUAUUCAUGUGAAUGUUAUGUUUACAGGAAGACAAUUUUUUUAUCAUAGAUAUUUAAAACGUCGAGUGUCUGUGAGUUCAGCAGCGGACAUCUUGGGGAGGUGAGACAGCUGGCAAUGUUGGGAUUGAUUACAUAUUGUUUAACGUCCCUCUCGAGAAUAUUUCACUCAUAUGGAGACGACACCACUGCCGGUGAAGGGCUGCAAAAUUUAGCCCUAUGCUCGGCGCUUAUGGCCAUUGAGCCCCACCUACUGUGACACGGGACCUCGGUUUUUGCGGUUCGCCCCAUUUAGUCGCCUCUUCCGACAAGCAAGGGGGUACUGAGGACUUAUUCUAACCCGGAUCCCCACGGGAAUGCUUUUAUAAGCGUUUUCAGAACCCAGGAAAAAAUCGGAUGGGAGUUCCCCGGUUCAUGAAAGUUUUAUUCAGAGAUUUGACACGUUUGUGACGGACAUUUGAAAAUGGCGAGUUCAUAAUUUUAUUCCUACCCCAUCAUACAAAUUUGAUGGUGUUGCACGUCUCAUGUUAAUUUCCUUAAAGGUGUUGCAUGAAAGAUCGAAAAUAUUAAGUUAUUCAAAUAUAUAUGAUAAAACCAAUUGGAAGUUUCCAACCUGGACACUGUUUAGUUUGUGAAUAUGUCUUGCAACAAACACGCCGAAUACAGCAUGUAAUACCUGUGCUUUAAUAGUCAAGGCUGCUAACGAGAACUUGUAUGUUUUUCUGAAUGAAAGUUGUUGACAAAGGUAUGGUGCCUUUUACGAAAAACCAUUGUGAACUUUGCAAAGCUUUGGAAGAAAAACUUUAAGGCUAAACAAUGUAAACAACUGUUAAACAGUUUGAGUUUAUAUGUAUUCCAGUAGCAAAUUGCUAUGUUGAAUCAAUUUUUACAUGUGAAUGUACUACGAAUAAUGUUGAACUUUAUCAAUGCGUAUUAAACUUCCCAUAUUUUGUUUUGUGGUAAAAGUAAUGUACAGUUGUCAAUUGUUGGUUGUAGAAACUAAUACAUACGAGUAUGAGAGCUUUUGGAUUGUAGUAGUGUAGAAUAUCAAAUAUUUGAUACACUCGUAACAUGUAACCGUAUACAUUGUACAAAUGUAUCUGAUACUCAGAAGGAAAAAAAAAGACAAUUUAAUUUUCACGAUUUCAAAAUUAUCUUUAGACUACAUGUAUAAUGUAUUGACACAUAAAAUGCAUUAGGCUUGUCCCUAGUACUGGGGAAUCCUUCGGUAUUUAAAUGGCAAAUACGCAAUGAAUAUAAAUAUGAAUGAAGGUCAGUUCUACGUCACGAGUGCUGGCACGGAGCUCCGAUUAGGGAAAAUUCCCGCUUCGUUGCAACACCCUCUUCGUGAAGAUCGGACAACAUUGAAUAAUUAAAAGCGUUUGGGCAGGGGUAUCCUUUAAAGAAAUGUGUCCUGCUGCAAAUAUCUAUGAAAACAUUUCCAGAACUCCUGUAAAAAAUUGAGCUGGAGUUGUCUAUACUUUAAAGCCCCACCCCCUCCCCCUCCGCAAUAUGACAUGUAUUUCGUGGAGAAGAGAAAGAGCGAUGUAAUCUAUCAUAUUUACAAAUGAAUGCUAAAAUUGGGUAACAGCAAGUAAACAAUACAUGAAAUUUCGAUAUACGGUAAAAUGUACUAAAUUGACGAGGUCUGUCCAUAUAGUUACAGGUACCAUGAUGAAGUUGAUUCAUCUAAAUUUUAUCUAGCGGGAAUUUUAUCACGUCCGAUCGGCCGUCUAUACCAAGAAAUUAAUUCGCCUGUGGUUAAAUUUAUGCGUCUCGGGGGGUUGGGUGCACGGUUAUUUCAAGCACUACAACAAGCUCAAGACUCUAAAUUUAAAAAGAACAAGAGAGUGAAGUUGGUUGAUAAUUAGAAAAAGUAGCUGACGUUUCAAGUGAAUCUGGAAUACAAGUUAAAAAAUAAUUUUAGUUUAAAGCCGCGUUCAUUUUUUCGAGGGGUUGUUUGGCUUGGGAAAGUGAGCAUUUCUAUAUGUUUGUGAGGGGUUGGUUGGUUGAAUAAACAAUGUAAAAUAGAAAUAACCUUAGUUGUAUUUCUGGUUAGACUAUUAAGACAUGAUUAAACUAUAUGAAAUUAAAAAUGUAAUCUUAAUGGGAUUCAAAAAUAAAAUUAUACUAUUCUUCAUUGCUACUGCGAUCGCAUGAAAACCAAUUCAAUUAUUAGCCGCGCAACACAAUUAAGAUAUAUAUAGCGUAAUAUGUACACAUUCAUAUAUAUAUAUAUAUAUAUAUAUAUAUAUAUAUAUAUAUAUAUAUAUACAAAUGUAUAUAUGUAUAUAUAUAUAUAUAUAUAUAUAUAUAUUUAUAUAUACAAUUGCGAUAUGUAUUUUGUAAAUAAUUGAUUAUUUUGUACAUAACUAUUUGAUAUCGCCUUCAAAACCAGAAAUCAAUAACGUUCUUUUGAGUUCGUUUUGAAGUGAUGCAUGACGUUGUUGAAUGACUUCGCGAAUUUGUUUAAAACUGCUGCUUUUUUGAUGGUUUUUAUCAAACUUUGACAUCUUUUUCUUUAAAAUACGAACUCGGUUACCCCAUAAUUUUUUUUUCAUAAAUAUUUUUCAAAUUGUUUUUGUUUCGCAUUGAUAUUAAUAUUAUCAAGAUGAACAGCACCGAAUUCUGUCUAUUUUAAGUUGAAUUAUGUAAUGAAUAAUGUCAAACACUAUCAUUUUCUAUAUAAUUCAAUGGAAAACAGUGACGCUACCGUUAAAACAAGGGUGUGUUGAAGACUUUUAAAAUUACUAAAAAAAAAACUGAUGUUGAACUAAAAACAAUUUUCACAGAGUAGUAUAUACAUUGUCAAGAUACAUCGCUAAAAUUUUCAGGUGGGGUUUUCGAGUGGGGAAAAAAGGUCUGUAAACCCGCGACCUACGUUAAAAAAAACGAUCUCCAUUAUAAUGAAAAUUAUGUAAACUUUCUAUGCAAUAGAGCAUUUAAUUCAAUACGACACUGUUUCGACCAUUGUUUCUAAAUCUACACAAACUAAAUUCUAAGUCAAAAUUACAACAAAAGGUUGCAAGAUGUAUGAAUUUUAAUUUUUUAAGUACUGUAAAGCUGUUUUAGUCAUUUAGAGUUUGGUAGAUAUCAGCAAAUAUGACUUUAGCACCUAGUGCCCUUUGAAAUAUUUAAGACAAUUCUUCAUCAGUAGAAUAAUGAUACUAGAUUUUGUAAUUUAAUGCAAGCAAUUCAUUCUAUUAAGUAUUUCCAUGUACCAACCCACGUACAAAGUAACCCAUCGAUAAAGAAAUUAAAAUCAUAUCUUAACAUCUAUCAAGCAAAAUUAAGAUAUUAAUGGUAAUCACGGUGUGUAAACUAGCAGCGAGGAAAAACCAACACAGAGAGAUUUAUAUUGACGACUGUCUUUGCAGAUGCAGGUAAGCAAAGUUUGAUUUGAUGUAUUAUUGAAGGUAAUCCAUAUUAUCAACUUAUUACUGUAUUACAUGUAUCUUACCUAUGCAUAGAGUUUUAUUUUCUUUCAGGAAAAGAACCGUUGAUGAGAUAUUGAGGGAAUAUCAUACUAGAGACACUUCUCCAAACUCUUCUUAAACAUCUGUUAUCAAAUUAAUUAUAUCUUAUAUCGUAGCAUCCACAGGCACUCGACGUUUUAAGUAUCUAAUAUUUCUCCGAAAUUUUCAAGCGAUGCAGCUGGUAAAAAAGAAAACCAAGAUGGCGGUGUGGUAUACCUUGUGAAUAUUAUGUUUACAAGAAGACAGGUUUUUAAUUAAAUUAUAGAUAUUUAAAACGUCGAGUGCUUGUGGUAGCAUCGUUUUAUGUAAAAUUUAAUAUUAACAUAUUUUCUAAAUAAAGUAAUAAAACCACACCAGGAGUUUUGUAUUUGAAAGGGUGUACUGAUUGUGAGAUUGUCACGUGAUCUAUAGAUUAAACACGUGAUUAAAGGGACAUGGACACGAUUUGAGCUGAAAAUUUUAUUUUUCCAUUUUUAUUGUUUACAAUGCUUAACUAAAGUAUUUCUAAUGGUCAACCAAAAUUUGAAUGUCAGUUGUUGAGUUACAAGCGAGAUACAGCACUCGUAAUUCUUUGAAAUGUAAACAAGGCUCAUGCCAUGUUUUUGUUUACAUAUGGAUGGUUCAAUAGAAAAUAACAUGUUUAAAACAAAAUUAGAUGUGCCAAAGACUAGAAACUCUUCAAUUGUAUUCAGAAUUAACUUGUGAAUUGAAAAAAAUCUGUUAUAAAAGAUACUUUUACUAGUAUAUUUAACCUAUGUAAACAAAAGCACGGCACAAGUCUUGUUUACAUUACACAGAAUUUUGAGCUCUGUAUCUCUCAUGUACCUUGACAACGGACAUUCAAAUUUUGCUAAACAUUAGAAAUACCUUAGUUAAACAUUCUAAACAUUAAAACUGGAAAAAUAAAAUUUGAAAAUGUUCAGCUCAUACCUUGUCUAUGUCCCUUUAUUCAUAUAUACAAAAUGAGACUAGAGACGACAUUCAACCAUUGCAAUUUAAGACCAUAAAACAUUCAGUGAAAUAACAACCAAAAAUAAUAAGCAUAUGAUGUACCUACAUGUAUUCUUUAUGGGAUUUCUUCACCACACACUUAAAUAUGUUUUUCACAAACACUUGCAUACAUGAUCACAUGAUGCCUAGAUGUAAGGACAAUUAUCAAUUUUCUGUAUUUGCAUGCUGAAAAAUCAGCAAAACUUAAAUGAGAUCCCGAUAAAGUGCAUGUUGUCAUGUUACACAAAAAUUCAUAAGAAUUUUUAUCUUUCAUUUUGAAUGAUUAGUUCCAACUGUGAAAAGCAUACUUUACUAGAUACAAAAGUUAAUAUCCGUUAAUUAAUGUUUUAAUCAAUUUGAUUGAAAAGUGAAGAUAAUUUAUAUUCAUGCAUGAUUUAACAUACCAAUGUACUCGACAAUCUAUUCAUAACUCAAGACAUAUACCCGUGACACAGACAGUAAUCAGGUAACGAGGGAGGUAAAAGUAAUAGUCAUAUCAACAGAAUUAUCCGGCACAUAAAAAUUAUACUUGUCAUAGAAAUUAACAUAUAUCAUAAGCUUGUAUAAUACUGAAGAUUAUUCUUAUUUGAUCUGUAUUAUAUUCGACAUUGCUGGAGGUAUCGUAUAACAACAAUCAUAAUAUUUACGACAAUCCCCCAAACAACACAAUCCAUCCAUUUUUAGACAUUGGAAAACCUUCCUCUCCUCUAUAAAAUAGAUGUCACAAGACGGCUUCUCGUCACAAAUGGAUACUAUAUUUUUGUAGUAUAUCAGAGAGAAUGACCUAGCAUGAGGAGGUGGAAUUUUUUCUUUCUUUCCUUUCUUGCUCUGUUCACCCUAGGUGACUCGGUCAUAUCUUGUAUAGAUACUUCAAAAGUAAACGCAUUUUAUCCGAAAACUUGCGGGAAAAGUUCUUGCUCCUUAGAACAAUUUUGUUCCGAGGAGGAAAGAUGUCUAUACUGCAGUAAGGAUAUAUGUAAAGGCCAAAGCAUCCCGAUGCAAUGUAUGUGGUUCUGUUUGACCAAAAAUACAGAUACCCGCCUUGCAGGGCGUAAUGAAACACAAUGCGACGACACAGUUCUGGAAGCAGAAAAAUCGCAUACCUUGACGCUUGGCCUACUUGUGGUAUCUUUGUCCAUAAAUGCAAUCUCGGUCAUUGCAUUUGGAAUAUACUCUCUUAAGCAUGGAAUAUGUUUUCGAACUAAAAGAACUUGUGAUGGACAUAUUCCGCGGCAGCAUAUACAUGUAGAAAGUGGUCAUAGGAGUCAAGGAAUGGAUAAGUUACUGGUGAGUGGUCAGGAGAAUUGCCAUCAAUGAGUCAGUGCCGUAAAGUGUUCUCUUCCUGUUCAUUGUCGUUAAAGUAACAAGGACAAGAAAGUAACAUCAACCUACAAGUACUUUUCAUGAAAUCGCAAAAUAAUGACUUGUUAGUUGGACUAAAAAGGAUGAAUAUACCUUCAUGAACAUUGCGCAGUGGGAAGAUAUUUUAAGUGUUAUAGAAUAGACACUACAAUUUUAAUUUGUGAUAAUGUUCUUUGUGUAUCAUUGUUCUCGCAAUAAAAUACAAUUUAAAGGAUACAAUCAUUAAAACUGUUUCAUUUUUGGGACAUUCCGAGAAAACCAAGACGUAAUCCAAUAUACACAGAGUCUACCGUGUGGAGAAUUUACAGAAGGCAUUGUCCAGGCCAUCAUCGAAAACCCACGAUCGGUCGUAUGGCUUGAGGAAUGUGUAUCCUUGACCUGGCCAAAGGUCAUUAGGAAAUCGUAACUACGCUUAAAAUGUUCAGUUGUACAUCAGAUUUUGACAUAUACAUGGGACGCAAGGCUGCUUUGACCACUUAAGGUGUCAUGAUCCUAUACCAAGGUUAUCUAGACAAUUUCAAGGUUACUUGAGAAGUGAUUGUUGAUCAGGAAUAUUCAUUCUAAACUCACCGCCGCGGUAGUCUAGGGGUUGAGCGUUCGCCCCGCAUGCGGAAGGUCGGGGGUUCGAAUAUCGGCCGUGACAUACCUAAGACGUUAAAACUGGUAGUGACAGUUCCAUCACCAAAUGCUCGGCAUCAGGUGUGAAUGUCACGGGUCCUCGGAGAUGACCUUAAUAACGGAUGUACUGUGUCACAGUAAGUGUGGCACGCCAAAGAACCCUCACUGCUCACUGGCCGUAAGCGCCGCGCAUAGGCCUUUUGAAGCCCUUCAUCGGUCUUGGUGACUUCUCCAUGUGAGUGGAAAAGUUACGAGAGGGACGUUAAACAAGAUACAAUUGAUUACUCAAUCAUUCUAAACUCAAUUUUUCACGUUUCAGCCAUUUAGCACUAUGAUAGGGUCGGCACAUCUGACCCAAGAUUUUUAUUUAAGAUAUUAAACUUUCACUAAGAAAUAUCUCUUGAUAAAACUCGUAACCCUCGUCAAGGGGUCAUGACCAUCCUCAUUUUGGCAGAAGUCUUCAUCUGUACGCAAUGAUUUCUGGAUAGUAUGAGGAAUAAUUUGAGUUUUAGCAAUGAAACUUCACGCGAGAAACCUGUCACUUAAGGAUAGUUGUAAUUCUUGAUUUUGUUUCGGUUAAAACGCCACGGUAGAUAUAACAUCGUUUCCGGAUAAUAUUUCGCAUACUUUUUUUUUUUAAGCUUCAUACAGAAAAAAUUCAUAUGAAAAGGGACAAUGUCCUCAGGAUCUAAUUUUUAAGGCGAGAAGAAUUUUAAAAGGUCACGAGAUCACGUGUGGUAAAUAUAAGAAUCUCAAAUACUAAAUGAGCAUUAUGCUAUGUCGUGCGAUACGUUGCGAUAUCUUAAUCACGAACCGAUGCGCUAUGUACCAAUAGGAUAGGAUUGUGAUAGCGAUGCCAUUUACUAUCAGGAUCAUUGAUUGAUUGUUUUGAUGUUUUCCGCCACACUCAACAUUUUUUCAGUUAUCUGGUGGCGCCCAGUUUUUGUUGGUGGAAGAGAGAACCCAGAUACAAUGUACCUGGGAAGAGACCACCGACCUUCCGAAAGUAAACUGGGAAACUUUCUCACUUACCUGCGCGAGAGAGAUUCGAACCCGCGCCGUCAGAGGUGAGAGGCCGUGUGAUUUUGAGCGUGAUGCUUUAACCACUCGGCCACGGAGGCCCUUCUAUCAGGAUCCAUGGUGAUUACGGUUUGUUCUACGUUGGACCCCUAUAUAUUGAUCAUUGACUUAGAUUUUUUUUAAACAUAUAGAGAAUGAACAAUACAACCCACAGCCACUCAGAACGGCAGAAGUUAAUUCACAAUAUAGCAACAUAACGUGGUGUUUAUCUUGUAAAAAUUGAUGAUCACGAUUUGAGAGCACGAUUAGAUGUGCUUUGAUACGAUGCAGUACGAUGUGAUAGGAUUAUAACGACUGAACGUUAAUCGUGUUUAUCGUUGAAAUUUUUUGGACAUUAAAAAUGUUUUCUACGAUCUACACGAUUGUCACAAUUGACGUCAAGAUAAGAUCUCGUGUCAUUUCAACUAUAAAAAAUGCAUCGAAUUAAGGGGAAAAGUUGAAGCGGGAGAGAAAUUCAGUUUAAUCCAUUCCAAUCGCAAUAAGCGGCCGGAGUUCAGGCAAGAAAUGCCGAAUAUCACUUUGUGUGACACUGGUCUGAGAUUCGGAAGUACCCAGCCUCGAGUCCGGCUGAUACUACCGUUGUAUCUGUAUAAAUCACGCCAACGCUAAAGGAAACUCGGGUGUCAUUCUUUACUAAUAAAUAUAUGCUCCAUACAUGUAAAGAGACAACAGCAAAGCAUAUUCUUCUCGUUUUCAAACUCAUGGAAAAUAUGUCAUUUCACCCAUGUUCAUCUUAGCCCAGCAAACCAGCAUGAUGAAGAUUGAUCAGGUCAUCUUUUAUUGCCGGAAUUUCGGAUAGUGCUGAAAAUGAAAUAAAAUGGAUUUCUUUAAA